GCCUAAUACAUGCAAGUCGGACGGGAUUCAAUAGCUUGCUAUUGAUGAGAGUGGCGCACGGGUGCGUAACGCGUGAGCAACCUGCCCAUUUCAGGGGGAUAGCCCGGAGAAAUCCGGAUUAAUACCGCAUAUGAUCACAUUACCGCAUGGUAGGGUGAUGAAAUAUUCAUAGGAAAUGGAUGGGCUCGCGUGACAUUAGCUAGUUGGUAGGGUAACGGCCUACCAAGGCGACGAUGUCUAGGGGCUCUGAGAGGAGAAUCCCCCACACUGGUACUGAGACACGGACCAGACUCCUACGGGAGGCAGCAGUAAGGAAUAUUGGUCAAUGGGGGAAACCCUGAACCAGCCAUGCCGCGUGCAGGAAGACGGCCCUACGGGUUGUAAACUGCUUUUGCACGGGAAUAACCCUCAUUAUGUAUAAUGAGCUGAAUGUACCGUGAGAAUAAGGAUCGGCUAACUCCGUGCCAGCAGCCGCGGUAAUACGGAGGAUCCGAGCGUUAUCCGGAAUUAUUGGGUUUAAAGGGUGCGCAGGCGGGGAUCUAAGUCAGGGGUGAAAGACGGUGGCUCAACCAUCGCAGUGCCUUUGAUACUGGAUUCCUUGAAUAUACCUGAGGUAGGCGGAAUGUGGCAAGUAGCGGUGAAAUGCAUAGAUAUGCCACAGAACACCGAUUGCGAAGGCAGCUUACCAAAGUAAGAUUGACGCUGAGGCACGAAAGCGUGGGGAUCGAACAGGAUUAGAUACCCUGGUAGUCCACGCCCUAAACGAUGAACACUCGAUGUC
RNAcentral lists this ribosomal RNA (781 nucleotides) under uncultured Bacteroidota bacterium. Its description in RNAcentral is "bacterial SSU rRNA". It matches the Rfam family "Bacterial small subunit ribosomal RNA", at positions 46 to 824 of the family's 1533-position model. Lineage: Bacteria; Pseudomonadati; Bacteroidota. The record is from RNAcentral.